AAUCUUUUCAACUCUUAACUUUUAAAUUUUUGAUUAGGAUUAGCCUCUUCAUCUCCUCUCACUUCUUUAAUAAAUCUCUCCCUCCUUUUAAAAAUCUUCUUUGCUCGUGUUUUCUAAACCUAGACUCUAUUGCAAAUUAGAAACUUUGACCUUAUGCCAUUGCAUUUUCAAACUCUUUUCUUAAUCAAAUUUGUAAAUAAACUUAACUAUACUUGACUUAAAAUUUCAAAAGACAAAAAGAACUAACACUCAUUCAAACC
RNAcentral lists this long non-coding RNA (260 nucleotides) under Lathyrus oleraceus (garden pea). RNAcentral describes it as "Pisum sativum (pea) long non-coding RNA (PSAT_LNC008955)". Lineage: Eukaryota; Viridiplantae; Streptophyta; Magnoliopsida; Fabales; Fabaceae. The record is from RNAcentral.